UCAUUCAACACACAAAAACCCAGUAGGGGACUAUGAUGAGGACACCACGAGUACAUCUACACCAGCAGCACCUCAGGCGCCUCCAGUUGCCCCUCCACCUCAGGUGCCUACAGUUGAUCAUCCAGUUGGGCCAAUCACUCGGGCCCGUGCGAGAGAAUUAAACUUCAUCAUGCUGUUAAGGAACGAAGGCCCAGCGGAAUAAGAAGAUGGCCCAACAGGGCAGCCCAGGUGGGACGCCUAGGGUUGGGAGCCGCGGCCCUUCCCCUGGUCGCGCGCGCCCCCCUCCUGCCGUGGCGCCUCCUCCGGACUCCAGGGGCUGCGCCCCCUUUAUUUAGUCGGAGUCCCUUUUGUUUACGACUUGAGUUUUGUUUUACAUCUAGCUUUAGCUACUCUCGAACACGCGCAAAUACGCGCUGUCCUUGUGUGAUUCAGAACUCCACCUUCGAGUGAUAUUUAGAUUGCUCGCCUCUUUUUCUUGUUCGUUCUUCGAUUGCG
Molecule: long non-coding RNA, 495 nt
Filed under: Setaria viridis
Lineage: Eukaryota; Viridiplantae; Streptophyta; Magnoliopsida; Poales; Poaceae
Description: long non-coding RNA (SVIR_LNC000307)
Source: RNAcentral